This 1343-nucleotide ribosomal RNA is filed under the name uncultured bacterium. Its description in RNAcentral is "16S ribosomal RNA". It matches the Rfam family "Bacterial small subunit ribosomal RNA", at positions 28 to 1378 of the family's 1533-position model. The record is from RNAcentral.
GACGAACGCUGGCGGCGUGCUUAACACAUGCAAGCCGAACGGAAAGGCCCUGCUUUUGUGGGGUGCUCGAGUGGCGAACAGGUGAGUAACACGUGAGUAACCUGCCCUUGACUUUGGGAUAACUUCAGGAAACUGGGGCUAAUACCGGAUAGGAGCUCCUGCUGCAUGGUGGGGGUUGGAAAGUUUCGGCGGUUGGGGAUGGACUCGCGGCUUAUCAGCUUGUUGGUGGGGUAGUGGCUUACCAAGGCUUUGACGGGUAGCCGGCCUGAGAGGGUGACCGGCCACAUUGGGACUGAGAUACGGCCCAGACUCCUACGGGAGGCAGCAGUGGGGAAUAUUGCACAAUGGGCGGAAGCCUGAUGCAGCAACGCCGCGUGCGGGAUGACGGCCUUCGGGUUGUAAACCGCUUUCGCCUGUGACGAAGCGUGAGUGACGGUAAUGGGUAAAGAAGCACCGGCUAACUACGUGCCAGCAGCCGCGGUGAUACGUAGGGUGCGAGCGUUGUCCGGAUUUAUUGGGCGUAAAGGGCUCGUAGGUGGUUGAUCGCGUCGGAAGUGUAAUCUUGGGGCUUAACCCUGAGCGUGCUUUCGAUACGGGUUGACUUGAGGAAGGUAGGGGAGAAUGGAAUUCCUGGUGGAGCGGUGGAAUGCGCAGAUAUCAGGAGGAACACCAGUGGCGAAGGCGGUUCUCUGGGCCUUUCCUGACGCUGAGGAGCGAAAGCGUGGGGAGCGAACAGGCUUAGAUACCCUGGUAGUCCACGCUGUAAACGGUGGGUACUAGGUGUGGGGUCCAUUCCACGGGUUCCGUGCCGUAGCUAACGCUUUAAGUACCCCGCCUGGGGAGUACGGCCGCAAGGCUAAAACUCAAAGGAAUUGACGGGGCCCCGCACAAGCGGCGGAGCAUGCGGAUUAAUUCGAUGCAACGCGUAGAACCUUACCUGGGUUUGACAUGGAUCGGGAGUGCUCAGAGAUGGGUGUGCCUCUUUUGGGGUCGGUUCACAGGUGGUGCAUGGCUGUCGUCAGCUCGUGUCGUGAGAUGUUGGGUUAAGUCCCGCAACGAGCGCAACCCUUGUUCACUGUUGCCAGCACGUUAUGGUGGGGACUCAGUGGAGACCGCCGGGGUCAACUCGGAGGAAGGUGGGGAUGACGUCAAGUCAUCAUGCCCCUUAUGUCCAGGGCUUCACGCAUGCUACAAUGGCUGGCACAGAGAGUGGCGAGCCUGUGAGGGUGAGCGAAUCUCGGAAAGCCGGUCUCAGUUCGGAUUGGGGUCUGCAACUCGACCUCAUGAAGUCGGAGUCGCUAGUAAUCGCAGAUCAGCAACGCUGCGGUGAAUACGUUCCCGGG